This 253-nucleotide ribosomal RNA is filed under the name uncultured bacterium. Its description in RNAcentral is "partial 16S ribosomal RNA". It matches the Rfam family "Bacterial small subunit ribosomal RNA", at positions 524 to 776 of the family's 1533-position model. The record is from RNAcentral.
UACGGAAGGGGCUCGCGUUGUUCGGAAUUACUGGGCGUAAAGAGCGCGUAGGCGGCUUACCAAGUUGGGGGUGAAAUCCCGGAGCUCAACUCCGGAACUGCCUUCAAAACUGGUAGGCUCGAGUCCGGAAGAGGAGCGUGGAAUUCCAAGUGUAGAGGUGAAAUUCGUAGAUAUUGGGAAGAACACCGGUGGCGAAGGCGGCGCCCUGGUCCGGUACUGACGCUGAGGCGCGAAAGCGUGGGGAGCAAACAGG